Long non-coding RNA from Prionailurus viverrinus (fishing cat), 2564 nucleotides. RefSeq lists it as uncharacterized. The transcript has 3 exons. Lineage: Eukaryota; Metazoa; Chordata; Mammalia; Carnivora; Felidae. The record is from RefSeq and is a predicted model, not a curated record.
AAGCUGUUCCCGUCGAAAGCCAGAGAGAGCCCGGGGGCGGCGGUCACCAUCACGUCGGCGCCACUCAGGGUGACGCUGCGAGUGUAGCUGACGGCCUGGCUGCCCCGGUGCUCAUUGACUACAGUGACCGUGAAGUUCUCGACACCCUUGGGUGGUGCAGAGCAAGGCGCACUCAGCAGGUACUCGCAGGUGCCCUGGAAGUCGAAUCGGUGCCCAUCCAGGGUGAUGUAAUGGGGGUCACCCCAGGCCUGACACUCAGCUGUGCUGACAGGGUGGCAGCCGUGCUGGCCAGAGGGCAGCAGGGCACAUUCUUCACCCGGCCCACACUUGGCAGGCUUGCAGACCAAUGAGCCACCCCCAGGCCCGCAGUGGCACCUCUGGGAGCAGGUGGCAUCGGCCCAGAACUCACUGCCAGCUUCAUGGCCUAGGUGAAGAGAGAGCCCUCAGCUCCUAACUGGCUGGCAGGACCCCUCUCCCCAACUACGGGGCUCAAGAGACCAUCCUGCAGGACUUACCCGGACUUUGCCGAUCUCGCCUUUGUGGAUGGAGAUGUUGACGCUGAGGGCAGACACGGUGACGAGCCUCACAAAGGACACAGCAGGGUUGCCCCGGUUCUCAUUCUUGGUGGUGACGGUGAAGGGGGUCAGGCCCUGGGCGCUGACCCCCGGGCAGCCGGCGGCCGCCAGCACAUAGUCGCAGGUGCCCUGGAAGUCGAAGUCCCAGCCAUCGAAGGAGUGGUAGUGCGGGUCGCCCCACAGCCAGCACGUGGCCUCGUAGUUGGGUACACACACACCCUGCCCAUCCUUCUCCUGGCACGUCUCCUGUGGCCGACAGGUCACACCGUGACACGGGUCUGGAGACAGGGAGAGAGGAACUUGUGGGGCUGCCCAGCACAGGCCGGCUGCUCCCCAGCCUCAGCCCCGGUCUGCCCCAGGGAUUCUGCCCCGGGGCUUAGGGCUCCUGCAGGUGAGGACAGACACCAGGGGCUUCCCAUCUGAGACCAAGCCCUGGGGGUCCCCCAUGUUUGAAAUCCAGGCCCUGUGGUGGACUGUGUCUAAGACCCCAUCAAAGGCUCCCACAUUCAAGGCCAAGGCCCUGCAGUUUGCUGUCUGAGACCCACGCCCCGAGUACCUGACUGCCAAGACCUAGACUCUAGGGUCCCUACAUCAGAACCCAGCCCCAGGGGUGCCAGUAUCUGUGAUGCCAGCCCUGAGGGCAUCCAUGAGGGCAUCCACAGCCCCAGAGUUUUCCAUGUUCAAGACCUGGGUCCCUAUUAUCCUGUCCAGUGGCACCAAGGGUCUCAGUUCUGGAGGCCCCAUUCUUUAUCUAUUUAUCUAUUUUUAUCUAUUUAUCUAUUUAUAAGGAGUUAUUCUCUGUCCUUCACCCUAAGAAACCAGUCCUGGGGGGGCAUCUCUGUGACUUAGACUUAAUCUGGGGGGGCCCCAUGUCUGAGAUUGUUUCCCUAUAAAUCCCGAUCCUCUUCGGGGGGGGGGUCCUGUAUCUAAGACCCCAGCCUUCGUGGGGUCUCUACCUGAGACCUCAGGACUAUGCUUUCUGUCUCUGUCCCUGGGGGUCCUGAUUUCCCCUACCUUGAAGGGGAGAUGGUGUUAGAAGCCCUGAGCCUAAUCCUGCAUACCAGUGGUCAGUAAACUAUGGCAUAGCCAGCUGCCUGUUUUUAUAAAUACCAGAGGGUUUUAUUGGAGCCUCACCCCCUCACUUACAUAGCCUACGACUGAUUUCAUGCCACAGUGGCAGAGUUGAGUAGUUAUGACCGAGACUAUAAGGCCUGCAAGUUCAAAUAUUUACCAUCUGUCCCUUUAGGGGAAAAGUUUGCCUGUCCUUGCCUUAUGCCAAGGGUCUCUGACAUCUGCCCUAGGGAACCUAGCCCUGAGGGUCCCCAAAGCCUGCAUUUUACUGUAAGGUAGAACUCCACCUCCCAGCCUGGAGGGCCUGUGCCCCUAGCCCUGGGAAUCCCAGCCCCGGGGCCCCCAGAUUGGAGACCUCAAUCCUUAGUCCUUUGUGCCACCCACUGUGAAAAUCUAGGUUCACACCUCCCGCUGCUCCAGAGUCCCCAUCCUCUAUUCCCAGCCCCACGGGGCCCAGCCCCAGCCCAGCACCUUUGGUGACGCAGCUCAGGACACCUCCUGAGGGCUCGCACACCUGCCCUGGCUUGCAGCUGUGGGCCUGGCAUUCUAGGCCUUUUCCAGCGUGGCACACACACUGUUGCUGGCACCUGUCGAUGAGGACCACCUGGUUCGGCUGUGAGGACAGAGGACACGGCCAUCAGGGUGGGAGCUGAACUGGCAUCUCCAGUGUCCCGGGGACAGAGUGUCCAGAGGACAUCAAGGGAACAUCUUUCAGCAGAGUGGCCCCUUGUCUGUGCAACUAGGGCACCGCAUGGCCUUGGGGUCCAAUUCAUUCAUUCAUUCAUUCACUCACUCACUCGUUUUUCCAAAAUAUCCACUUAAUGUCUGCUGUAUGUGAGAAACGGUGUAACAUGAAUUAAGAGCAAAGGCCCUGGAGCAAAUUGCCUGGGUCUGAAGCCUCAUUCUGCUAUUUCCAAA